UUCCUGAUGGUCUAGUGGUUAGGACUUAGUGCUUUUAUCACUGUGGCCUGGGUUCAACCCCAUAUCAAGAUG
This 72-nucleotide transfer RNA is filed under the name Sus scrofa (pig). It matches the Rfam family "tRNA". From Rfam's summary of the family: Transfer RNA (tRNA) molecules are approximately 80 nucleotides in length. Their secondary structure includes four short double-helical elements and three loops (D, anti-codon, and T loops). The record is from Rfam by way of RNAcentral. Lineage: Eukaryota; Metazoa; Chordata; Mammalia; Artiodactyla; Suidae.